CAGCAGCUCCGGUGGGCUCAGAGGCACCUUACCCACGGGUGGGACAGGGUGAGGAGGAUUGUCCUGCUCCCCCACUGUCCCGUGGGGUGCACCCAGAGCCGGUGUGGGUGGCUCUGAGGGCAGGGUGCCCACCGGUCCCGGGGGUCUGGCAGGUCGCAGGGCUCCUGUGUCCUGCCCCACAGCCCCGAGGACGGGGACAGGGCUGGGGACGGGGGACCCGGGCUGGGGGCCAGCAUCCUGGACAAAAGGGCUGGAUUAUCCGGUACAAGCGUACCCCCUGCCGACGAGCUGGAAAAACACAGCUCCCCGGACACCCCCUCAAAAAAAAAAAAAAAAAAAAAAAAAAAAAAAAAAAAAAAAGCACUGAUUGAUUUUUUGGGGGGAGGUCCCCGGCUGGAGAGCAAGGGGCUGGAGCCGGGCGUCGCCGGCGACACGCGUGGACACCCGCCCACCCGGGUUUCGCCAGACCCGGUAUCAGCAAGUUUUUUCCACAGGAGGUUUGUGGUUUCCAGCCUUUCCCGGGCCGUGUGUCCCCUCCGCGCCGCGUACGGGGCCCCUCUGCCCCUCUCCCCCCCGGCGGUGCCCUGCCCUGGGGCAUCCCCGGGGUUGGUUUUUCCGGUGCCUGGGGUUGGUUUGCACUUUCCCCUCCGCUGUUUGAUUUUUUUUUUUAAUUAUUUAUUUUAAUUUUUUUUUUUUUUACCUUUUACUUCUAGAAAGCAAUUUUUUUUCCCCAUCUUCUGCCCCCCCCCCCCCCCCCCCCCACCUCCCCGGCAGAGCUGCCCCGACCAAUCAGGGCCCUGUGGGGUUGGGGGAAUCGGGGCCGUGGGCUUUAAAAGCGGAGCCCUUUGUGCGCCGGAGCCCGGCGGGGUUCCCCCGCACCGGCAGCCGGGGAUGCGGGACCGGGAUGUGGGGCCGCCCGCAGCCUCCGCCGCCGGGAGGAGGAGCAGAAGCAGCAGCAGGAGCAGCAAAAGCCUGGACCACCCUGGCCUCAGGACCCCAGCUUCCCCCCUCGGCAGCUGGGGAGUUACAGGCGGGCAGGGAAAAAGAGCCUGUUUCAUCAGCGGGAAAUGACACCCGGGGGGUGUCCCUUCCCCUGCAGAAGGACCCGACCUGGUCACAGCAAGCACCCACAGACACUCGAGCACCCCCAGCCACGCUCACACCCACCGGGCACACUCACACACACACACACAGCUGGACAUGUGCACAGCUGGACACACACACACCCCAGCCCCUCGACACACACCCGACCCCCCCCCAGCCCUGGUCCUUCACCCCCUGUAGUGUUUUGGGGUUAAUAAAA
This 1303-nucleotide long non-coding RNA is filed under the name Calidris pugnax (ruff). RNAcentral's name for it is "lncRNA (ENSCPUG00000017091.1)". Lineage: Eukaryota; Metazoa; Chordata; Aves; Charadriiformes; Scolopacidae. The record is from RNAcentral.